RNAcentral lists this ribosomal RNA (468 nucleotides) under uncultured bacterium. Its description in RNAcentral is "partial 16S ribosomal RNA". It matches the Rfam family "Bacterial small subunit ribosomal RNA", at positions 28 to 507 of the family's 1533-position model. The record is from RNAcentral.
GACGAACGCUGGCGGCGUGCUUAACACAUGCAAGUCGAACGGCAAGGCCCUGCUUUUGUGGGGUGCUCGAGUGGCGAACGGGUGAGUAACACGUGAGUAACCUGCCCUUGACUUUGGGAUAACUUCAGGAAACUGGGGCUAAUCCCGGAUAGGAGCUCCUGCUGCAUGGUGGGGGUUGGAAAGUUUCGGCGGGUGGGGAUGGACUCGCGGCUUAUCAGCUUGUUGGUGGGGUAGUGGCUUACCCAGGCUUUGACGGGUCGCCGGCCUGAGAGGGUGACCGGCCACAUUGGGACUGAGAGACGGCCCAGUCUCGUACGGGAGGCAGCAGUGGGGAAUAUUGCACAAUGGGCGGAAGCCGGAUGCAGCAACGCCGCGUGCGGGAUGACGGCCUUCGGGUUGUAAACCGCUUUCGCCUGUGACGAAGCGUGAGUGACGGUAAUGGGUAAAGAAGCACCGGCUAACUACGUG